This 312-nucleotide ribosomal RNA is filed under the name uncultured Pseudomonas sp. RNAcentral describes it as "bacterial SSU rRNA". It matches the Rfam family "Bacterial small subunit ribosomal RNA", at positions 355 to 659 of the family's 1533-position model. Lineage: Bacteria; Pseudomonadati; Pseudomonadota; Gammaproteobacteria; Pseudomonadales; Pseudomonadaceae. The record is from RNAcentral.
UGGGGAAUAUUGGACAAUGGGCGAAAGCCUGAUCCAGCCAUGCCGCGUGUGUGAAGAAGGUCUUCGGAUUGUAAAGCACUUUAAGUUGGGAGGAAGGGUUGUAACCUAAUACGUUGCAAUCUUGACGUUACCGACAGAAUAAGCACCGGCUAACUCUGUGCCAGCAGCCGCGGUAAUACAGAGGGUGCAAGCGUUAAUCGGAAUUACUGGGCGUAAAGCGCGCGUAGGUGGUUCGUUAAGUUGGAUGUGAAAUCCCCGGGCUCAACCUGGGAACUGCAUUCAAAACUGACGAGCUAGAGUAUGGUAGAGGGU